AGAUUAAGUUAUUAAGGGCGCACGGUGGAUGCCUUGGCACUAGAAGCCGACGAAGGACGUUACUAACGACGAUAUGCUUUGGGGAGCUGUAAGUAAGCUUUGAUCCAGAGAUUUCCUAAUGGGGAAACCCAGCACGAGUUAUGUCGUGUUAUCGAUAUGUGAAUACAUAGCAUAUCUGAAGGCAGACGCGGAGAACUGAAACAUCUUAGUACCCGCAGGAAGAGAAAGAAAAAUCGAUUCCCUGAGUAGCGGCGAGCGAAACGGGAAGAGCCCAAACCAACGAGCUUGCUUGUUGGGGUUGUAGGACACUCUAUACGGAGUUACAAAAGAACAGACUAGACGAAUCAUCUGGAAAGAUGAAUCAAAGAAGGUAAUAAUCCUGUAGUCGAAAGUUUGUUCACUCUUGAGUGGAUCCUGAGUACGACGGAACACGAGAAAUUCCGUCGGAAUCUGGGAGGACCAUCUCCCAAGGCUAAAUACUCUCUAGUGACCGAUAGUGAACCAGUACCGUGAGGGAAAGGUGAAAAGUACCCCGGAAGGGGAGUGAAAUAGAACUUGAAACCGUGUGCUUACAAGUAGUCAGAGCCCGUUAAUGGGUGAUGGCGUGCCUUUUGUAGAAUGAACCGGCGAGUUACGAUUUGAUGCAAGGUUAAGCAGUGAAUGUGGAGCCGUAGCGAAAGCGAGUCUGAAUAGGGCGUUGAGUAUUUGGUCGUAGACCCGAAACCAGGUGAUCUACCCAUGACCAGGUUGAAGUUCAGGUAACACUGAAUGGAGGACCGAACCGACUUACGUUGAAAAGUGAGCGGAUGAGUUGUGGGUAGCGGAGAAAUUCCAAUCGAACCUGGAGAUAGCUGGUUCUCUCCGAAAUAGCUUUAGGGCUAGCCUCAAGUGAUGAUUAUUGGAGGUAGAGCACUGUUUGGACGAGGGGCCCUUAUCGGGUUACCGAAUUCAGACAAACUCCGAAUGCCAAUCAAUUUAACUUGGGAGUCAGAACGCGGGUGAUAAGGUCCGUGUUCGAAAGGGAAACAGCCCAGACCACCAGCUAAGGUCCCAAAAUAUAUGUUAAGUGGAAAAGGAUGUGGCGUUGCCCAGACAACUAGGAUGUUGGCUUAGAAGCAGCCAUCAUUUAAAGAGUGCGUAAUAGCUCACUAGUCGAGUGACACUGCGCCGAAAAUGUACCGGGGCUAAACAUAUUACCGAAGCUGUGGAUUGUCCGUAAGGACAAUGGUAGGAGAGCGUUCUAAGGGCGUUGAAGCAUGAUCGCAAGGACAUGUGGAGCGCUUAGAAGUGAGAAUGCCGGUGUGAGUAGCGAAAGACGGGUGAGAAUCCCGUCCACCGAUUGACUAAGGUUUCCAGAGGAAGGCUCGUCCGCUCUGGGUUAGUCGGGUCCUAAGCUGAGGCCGAUAGGCGUAGGCGAUGGAUAACAGGUUGAUAUUCCUGUACCACCAUUAUUCGUUUUAAGCGAUGGGGGGACGCAGUAGGAUAGGCGAAGCGUACGAUUGGAUUGUACGUCCAAGCAGUGAGAUUGAGUGUUAGGCAAAUCCGGCACUCUUAAGAUUGAGCUGUGAUGGGGAGAGGAAAUUGUUUCCUCGAGUCGUUGAUUUCACACUGCCAAGAAAAGCCUCUAGCUAGAAUUGUGGUGCCCGUACCGCAAACCGACACAGGUAGUCAAGAUGAGAAUUCUAAGGUGAGCGAGCGAACUCUCGUUAAGGAACUCGGCAAAAUGACCCCGUAACUUCGGGAGAAGGGGUGCUCUUUAGGGUUAACGCCCAGGAGAGCCGCAGUGAAUAGGCCCAAGCGACUGUUUAUCAAAAACACAGGUCUCUGCUAAACCGUAAGGUGAUGUAUAGGGGCUGACGCCUGCCCGGUGCUGGAAGGUUAAGAGGAGUGGUUAGCUUCUGCGAAGCUACGAAUCGAAGCCCCAGUAAACGGCGGCCGUAACUAUAACGGUCCUAAGGUAGCGAAAUUCCUUGUCGGGUAAGUUCCGACCCGCACGAAAGGCGUAACGAUUUGGGCACUGUCUCAACGAGAGACUCGGUGAAAUCAUAGUACCUGUGAAGAUGCAGGUUACCCGCGACAGGACGGAAAGACCCCGUGGAGCUUUACUGUAGUCUGAUAUUGAAAUUCGGCACAGCUUGUACAGGAUAGGUAGGAGCCUGAGAUACGUGAGCGCUAGCUUACGUGGAGGCGUUGGUGGGAUACUACCCUCGCUGUGUUGGAUUUCUAACCCGCACCAUUUAUCAUGGUGGGAGACAGUGUCAGAUGGGCAGUUUGACUGGGGCGGUCGCCUCCUAAAGAGUAACGGAGGCGCUCAAAGGUUUCCUCAGAAUGGUUGGAAAUCAUUCAUAGAGUGUAAAGGCAUAAGGAAGCUUGACUGCGAGACUUACAAGUCGAGCAGGGUCGAAAGACGGACUUAGUGAUCCGGUGGUUCCGCAUGGAAGGGCCAUCGCUCAACGGAUAAAAGCUACCCCGGGGAUAACAGGCUUAUCUCCCCCAAGAGUUCACAUCGACGGGGAGGUUUGGCACCUCGAUGUCGGCUCAUCGCAUCCUGGGGCUGUAGUCGGUCCCAAGGGUUGGGCUGUUCGCCCAUUAAAGCGGUACGCGAGCUGGGUUCAGAACGUCGUGAGACAGUUCGGUCCCUAUCCGUCGUGGGCGUAGGAAAUUUGAGAGGAGCUGUCCUUAGUACGAGAGGACCGGGAUAGACAUACCUCUGGUGUACCAGUUGUCGUGCCAACGGCAUCGCUGGGUAGCUAUGUAUGGACGGGAUAAGUGCUGAAAGCAUCUAAGCAUGAAGCCCCCCUCAAGAUGAGAUUUCCCAACUUCGGUUAUAAGAUCCCUCAAAGAUGAUGAGGUUAAUAGGUUCGAGGUGGAAGCAUAGCGAUAUGUGCAGCUGACGAAUACUAAUCGAUCGAAGACUUAAUCAAAUUUUA
Molecule: ribosomal RNA, 2930 nt
Filed under: Staphylococcus saprophyticus
Lineage: Bacteria; Bacillati; Bacillota; Bacilli; Caryophanales; Staphylococcaceae
Description: bacterial LSU rRNA
Rfam family: Bacterial large subunit ribosomal RNA
Source: RNAcentral